CAUGGUUGUCGUCAGCUCGUGUCGUGAGAUGUUGGGUUAAGUCCCGCAACGAGCGCAACCCUUAAGCUUAGUUGCCAUCAUUAAGUUGGGCACUCUAGGUUGACUGCCGGUGACAAACCGGAGGAAGGUGGGGAUGACGUCAAAUCAUCAUGCCCCUUAUGAUUUGGGCUACACACGUGCUACAAUGGACAAUACAAAGGGCAGCUAAACCGCGAGGUCAUGCAAAUCCCAUAAAGUUGUUCUCAGUUCGGAUUGUAGUCUGCAACUCGACUACAUGAAGCUGGAAUCGCUAGUAAUCGUAGAUCAGCAUGCUACGGUGAAUACGUUCCCGGGUCUUGUACACACCGCCCGUCACACCACGAGAGUUUGUAACACCCGAAGCCGGUGGAGUAACCAUUUAUGGAGCUAGCCGUCGAAGGUGGGACAAAUGAUUGGGGUGAAGUCGUAACAAGGUAGCCGUAUCGGAAGGUGCGGCUGGAUCACCUC
Molecule: ribosomal RNA, 486 nt
Filed under: uncultured bacterium
Lineage: Bacteria
Description: bacterial SSU rRNA
Rfam family: Bacterial small subunit ribosomal RNA
Source: RNAcentral